RNAcentral lists this ribosomal RNA (461 nucleotides) under uncultured bacterium. RNAcentral describes it as "partial 16S ribosomal RNA". It matches the Rfam family "Bacterial small subunit ribosomal RNA", at positions 28 to 523 of the family's 1533-position model. The record is from RNAcentral.
GAUGAACGCUGGCGGCGUGCCUAAUACAUGCAAGUCGAGCGGUAAGGCUCCUUCGGGAGUACACGAGCGGCAGACGGGUGAGUAAUACGUAGGAACGUACCCCAAAGUGAGGAAUAACCAGCCGAAAGGUUGGCUAAUACCGCAUAUGCUCUACGGAGUAAAGCAGCAAUGCGCUUUGGGAACGGCCUGCGUCCGAUUAGCUAGUUGGUAAGGUAAAGGCUUACCAAGGCGACGAUCGGUAGCUGUUCUGAGAGGAUGAUCAGCCACACUGGAACUGAGACACGGUCCAGACUCCUACGUGAGGCAGCAGUAGGGAAUUUUCCACAAUGGGCGAAAGCCUGAUGGAGCAACGCCGCGUGCAGGAUGAAGGCCUUAGGGUUGUAAACUGCUUUUAUCUGUGACGAUUAUGACAGUAGCAGAUGAAUAAGGAUCGGCUAACUCCGUGCCAGCCGCCGCCGUAA